CCACCUUAUCGUUAGUUGCCAGCACGUAAUGGUGGGAACUCUAACGAGACUGCCUAGGUAAACUAGGAGGAAGGUGAGGACGACGUCAAGUCAUCAUGGCCCUUAUGUCUGGGGCUACACACGUGCUACAAUGGUCGGUACAGAAGGCAGCGAAGCCGCAAGGUGGAGCAAAUCCCUAAAGCCGGCCUCAGUUCGGAUUGUAGUCUGCAACUCGACUACAUGAAGCUGGAAUUGCUAGUAACGGCGAGUCAGCAAUAUCGCCGUGAAUACGUUCCCGGGCCUUGUACACACCGCCCGU
This 298-nucleotide ribosomal RNA is filed under the name uncultured bacterium. RNAcentral's name for it is "partial 16S ribosomal RNA". It matches the Rfam family "Bacterial small subunit ribosomal RNA", at positions 1098 to 1397 of the family's 1533-position model. The record is from RNAcentral.